AUUGAACGCUGGCGGCAUGCCUUACACAUGCAAGUCGAACGGCAGCACGGGAGCAAUCCUGGUGGCGAGUGGCGAACGGGUGAGUAAUAUAUCGGAACGUGCCCGGUCGUGGGGAUAACGUAGCGAAAGCUACGCUAAUACCGCAUACGAUCUACGGAUGAAAGCGGGGGAUCGCAAGACCUCGCGCGAUUGGAGCGGCCGAUAUCAGAUUAGGUAGUUGGUGAGGUAAAGGCUCACCAAGCCGACGAUCUGUAGCUGGUCUGAGAGGACGACCAGCCACACUGGGACUGAGACACGGCCCAGACUCCUACGGGAGGCAGCAGUGGGGAAUUUUGGACAAUGGGCGCAAGCCUGAUCCAGCAAUGCCGCGUGCAGGAUGAAGGCCUGGUUGUAACU
RNAcentral lists this ribosomal RNA (396 nucleotides) under uncultured bacterium. RNAcentral describes it as "bacterial SSU rRNA". It matches the Rfam family "Bacterial small subunit ribosomal RNA", at positions 30 to 431 of the family's 1533-position model. The record is from RNAcentral.